RNAcentral lists this ribosomal RNA (253 nucleotides) under uncultured bacterium. RNAcentral describes it as "partial 16S ribosomal RNA". It matches the Rfam family "Bacterial small subunit ribosomal RNA", at positions 524 to 776 of the family's 1533-position model. The record is from RNAcentral.
UACGAAGGGGGCUAGCGUUGCUCGGAAUCACUGGGCGUAAAGCGCACGUAGGCGGAUCCUUAAGUCAGGGGUGAAAUCCUGGAGCUCAACUCCAGAACUGCCUUUGAUACUGGGGAUCUCGAGUCCGGAAGAGGUGAGUGGAACUCCGAGUGUAGAGGUGAAAUUCGUAGAUAUUCGGAAGAACACCAGUGGCGAAGGCGGCUCACUGGUCCGGUACUGACGCUGAGGUGCGAAAGCGUGGGGAGCAAACAGG